AUAGCGACACAAGGCAGUGGGCAGUCCCUGGUGUCAGUCUGAAGAGAGGUAAUACAUCGGUGCAACUGUGCAUUUGGUUUUUCGAUUUAAGCGCGAAAAAAGCAAGAUAAGUGUUAAAUUGACCACCUUAAAAGUAUACAAUACAAUUUAAAGUAAUAAUAUUCACUACAAAGUAUAAAGGAAUACGAAAACCGGCAAGUAUAACACAUAACAGGUGCAGGAAAUGAUGUAUUUUCAGUGAUCUCAGCUCUAGUGACGCCAUAUUAAGUUGUGUGACUCGAGUGGCGUCAUACGCCGAUCCUCGUAAAAGACGCCACUCUUCGCUCCUGCUUUCGGAUAAGAUGACUAGUUAAAGUGUUUACUUGAAUUUUUCAUUUAUGUACAGAAAGUGCCUGAAAACUACACCAGGACUUCUAACAGAGGUUAGUGGAGUCAGGAUAGUCUACAACUUGCCAUGGAACACGUACGGACGGGAGGCAUGAAUUGUUUUAAAACCUCACAAUCCCAUACAGAACUUUGAAAAGACAACUACAGUAUAAUGAUGCCAAAAAACAUGACAUAGACCCUCAAAGUUGCCUCAGAAAAUAAAAUAAGGAGUAUUUGGUGACCUACAUAAAGAAACUACAGGCAUCAGGAUUUCCGCCAAUGGAGAAACUUUACUAAGCUCGCCUAUCAGUUUGCAAAAGGAAAUCGAAUUCUUCACCGCUUCAACAGAGACAGAGUUAUGGCAGGAUGAUAUUGUCUAGACCAAGGGUUCUUAACCCUUUUUCGCUGGCGCACCAGUAAUUCUAAUUUGACAUAUUAAAUGUAGCACUAAUCAAAUGCGUUCAGGGAAAACUUAUUUAUGUUAAUAUUAUCUUUUAAUUUGUUUUACUUAGUUCGUGUACCACCCGACAUUGGCCUGCGUUCCACCAGUGAUACGCGUACCAUAGGUCUAGACUAAUUUCUGAGACAAUCCUGGAUUAGUUAAGAAAUAAUCUACAAUGUCUCUCUUUUGAAGAGCUAAAGCCAUGAAUAGGAAGAAUAUUGAUGUCUACUUCAAAUUAUAAUUGGAUUUGUUGCCAGAAAACUCUCUGCUAGACAAACCUGGCCAUAUGCACAAUGUGGAUGACUCUGGUUUUUCAAGUUAAUCCUAGGCCUGACACUGAUAUCUCAGAAGAGCUCUCCGACAGUGUACCAAAUGACUUCUGGUGAAAAGCGGGAGACAGUGCUGCAAUGCCAUAGGCUGUUUUAUAUCUCCAGCCUGCAUACUUAAAGAGAAAAACAAAAAGUCAGAAUGGGAAGAUUCUCUUCCCAAAGGGUCAAAAGGUUUUCAUGAAUGCAAGGUCUGGUUUUGCAAACUCUACCAUAUUAAUGCAGUGGCUGAAUAGAGCAUUUUAUUUCAAGAAAACAAACAGGGAAAGUAGUGCUAAUUCUAGAUGUUCAUACAUCGCACUGCAAUGACCAGGAUAUGUUGGAACUAGCUCAGAAAAACGACAUAAUCGUGGUUUGUUUUCCUCCCCAUUCCACCCACAACUUUCUUCCAUUUUAUCGGUGUUUCUUGAAACCCCCGAAACACUUUUCUUCAUAGCAGUGCACGUUUGGUGACAAAUACACGCAGAUCGCGACAUGUUAUGAUCGCAGUUUGCACCAUUGCUGAAGGAGGCUUGGCAGAAAUCGGUAACCAAAUCUAAUACCUAUUCUGGAUUUGAAACCUGUGUUCGUUGUGAUUUCUGCAAUAGCACGCGUAUUCCCUGUGCUCAACACACACGGCCAAUCACACCGAAACUUAGCUAUGACACCAAAUUACAAAAAUUUGUUCGGCGCAUGUAUACGUCAACAGUGAAUGAAAACUCAAAUCACAGUGGAGAAGCAUCUUAGCUGCUGUCAUUACAGACUAGUUUUAUAUUGUUCUUUUAAACUCUAAACUGGAUGUGUAACCCGUGCGUAUAGACAACCAAUUAAAGCGUGUGAUGAAGUAACUAAAACUCA
Long non-coding RNA from Zootermopsis nevadensis, 1971 nucleotides. RefSeq lists it as uncharacterized. The record is from RefSeq and is a predicted model, not a curated record. NCBI's taxonomy places the organism in Eukaryota, Metazoa, Arthropoda, Insecta, Blattodea, Termopsidae.